This 483-nucleotide ribosomal RNA is filed under the name uncultured bacterium. RNAcentral's name for it is "partial 16S ribosomal RNA". It matches the Rfam family "Bacterial small subunit ribosomal RNA", at positions 28 to 507 of the family's 1533-position model. The record is from RNAcentral.
GACGAACGCUGGCGGCGUGCUUAACACGUGCAAGUCGAACGCUGAAGCUCAGCUUUUGUUGGGUGGAUGAGUGGCGAACGGGUGAGUAACACGUGAGUAACCUGCCUCCUUCUUUGGGAUAACGCCCGGAAACGGGUGCUAAUACUGGAUAUUCACUGGUCUUCGCAUGGGGGUUGGUGGAAAGGGUUUUUCUGGUGGGGGAUGGGCUCGCGGCCUGUCAGCUUGUUGGUGGGGUGAUGGCCUACCAAGGCUUUGACGGGUAGCCGGCCUGAGAGGGUGACCGGUCACAUUGGGACUGAGAUACGGCCCAGACUCCUACGGGAGGCAGCAGUGGGGAAUAUUGCACAAUGGGCGCAAGCCUGAUGCAGCGACGCCGCGUGAGGGAUGGAGGCCUUCGGGUUGUGAACCUCUUUCGCUCAUGGUCAAGCCGCAACAAUGGUUGUGGUGAGGGUAGUGGGUAAAGAAGCGCCGGCUAACUACGUG